GAUUAACGCUGGCGGCGUGCCUAACACAUGCAUGUCGAGCGGCAGCGAGUUUUACACUGAAUUCUGGAAGCUUCUAGUUGAAAGAGAAGAUUUAUUCAAGAAUUUUGUGUAAAAUGUCGGCGAGCGGCGGACGGCUGAGUAACGCGUGGGAACGUACCCCAAAGUGAGGGAUAACGCAUCGAAAGGUGUGCUAAUACCGCAUAUGGUCUUCGGAUUAAAGCCUUCGGGCGCUUUGGGAACGGCCUGCGUAAGAUUAGAUAGUUGGUGGGGUAAUGGCCUACCAAGUCGACGAUCUUUAACUGGUUUGAGAGGAUGAUCAGUCAGACUGGAACUGAGACACGGUCCAGACUCCUACGGGAGGCAGCAGUGAGGAAUCUUCCACAAUGGGCGAAAGCCUGAUGGAGCAACGCCGCGUGCAGGAUGAAGGCCUUCGGGUUGUAAACUGCUUUUAUAAGUGAGGAUUAUGACAGGAACUUAUGAAUAAGGAGCGGCUAACUACGU
Molecule: ribosomal RNA, 501 nt
Filed under: uncultured bacterium
Lineage: Bacteria
Description: partial 16S ribosomal RNA
Rfam family: Bacterial small subunit ribosomal RNA
Source: RNAcentral